RNAcentral lists this ribosomal RNA (505 nucleotides) under uncultured bacterium. RNAcentral's name for it is "partial 16S ribosomal RNA". It matches the Rfam family "Bacterial small subunit ribosomal RNA", at positions 28 to 507 of the family's 1533-position model. The record is from RNAcentral.
GACGAACGCUGGCGGCGUGCCUAAUACAUGCAAGUAGAACGCACAGUUUAUACCGUAGCUUGCUACACCAUAGACUGUGAGUUGCGAACGGGUGAGUAACGCGUAGGUAACCUGCCUGGUAGCGGGGGAUAACUAUUGGAAACGAUAGCUAAUACCGCAUAAUAUUAAUUAUUGCAUGAUAAUUAAUUGAAAGGUGCAAUUGCACCACUACCAGAUGGACCUGCGUUGUAUUAGCUAGUAGGUGAGGUAACGGCUCACCUAGGCGACGAUACAUAGCCGACCUGAGAGGGUGAUCGGCCACACUGGGACUGAGACACGGCCCAGAAUCCUACGGGAGGCAGCAGUAGGGAAUCUUCGGCAAUGGACGAAAGUCUGACCGAGCAACGCCGCGUGAGUGAAGAAGGUUUUCGGAUCGGAAAGCUCGGUUGUAAGAGAAGAACGGGUGUGAGAGUGGAAAGUUCACACUGUGACGGUAUCUUACCAGAAAGGGACGGCUAACUACGUG